Molecule: non-coding RNA, 268 nt
Filed under: Geosporobacter ferrireducens
Lineage: Bacteria; Bacillati; Bacillota; Clostridia; Peptostreptococcales; Thermotaleaceae
Description: T-box sequence
Rfam family: T-box leader
About the family: Uncharged tRNA acts as the effector for transcription antitermination of genes in the T-box leader family. T-boxes are found upstream of many aminoacyl-tRNA synthetase genes and some amino acid biosynthetic genes usually in Gram-positive bacteria. The anticodon of a specific tRNA base pairs to a specifier sequence within the T-box motif, and the NCCA acceptor tail of the tRNA base pairs to a conserved bulge in the T-box antiterminator hairpin.
Source: RNAcentral
AAAAUGGCGUUGAUGAGGAGGAGUACAUACUCACCCGAAGCACAGAGAGAAGAUGGUUGGUGCAAAUCUUCGUGACGGGAGUAUGGAAGUAGCCUUUGAGCUGUGAACCGAAAAGAUACUAUCUGAGUAGACUUCACCGGAAAUUUCCACCGUUAAAAGGGAAGCGGUAUCGGAUGAUCUUAAUAAUCAAUUAUCCCGUAUCGGCAGAGAGCAGAUAGUCAUAUCUGAAUUUAGGUGGUACCACGGACGCAUACAGUUCGCCCUAAGC